AUUGAACGCUGGCGGCAUGCCUUACACAUGCAAGUCGAACGGCAGCACGGGGGCAACCCUGGUGGCGAGUGGCGAACGGGUGAGUAACAUAUCGGAACAUACCCUAGAGUGGGGGAUAACGUAGCGAAAGUUACGCUAAUACCGCAUACGAUCUAAGGAUGAAAGUGGGGGAUCUUCGGACCUCAUGCUCAUGGAGUGGCCGAUAUCUGAUUAGCUAGUUGGUGAGGUAAAGGCUCACCAAGGCGACGAUCAGUAGCUGGUUUGAGAGAACGACCAGCCACACUGGAACUGAGACACGGUCCAGACUCCUACGGGAGGCAGCAGUGGGGAAUAUUGGACAACGGGCGAAAGCCUGAUCCAGCAAUGCCGCGUGAGUGAUGAAGGCCUUAGGGUUGUAAAGCUCUUUUACCCGAGAUGAUAAUGACAGUAUCGGGAGAAUAAGCUCCGGCUAACUCCGUGCCAGCAGCCGCGGUAAU
RNAcentral lists this ribosomal RNA (476 nucleotides) under uncultured bacterium. RNAcentral describes it as "bacterial SSU rRNA". It matches the Rfam family "Bacterial small subunit ribosomal RNA", at positions 30 to 524 of the family's 1533-position model. The record is from RNAcentral.